GACGAACGCUGGCGGCGUGCUUAACACAUGCAAGUCGAACGGUAAGGCCCUUCGGGUACACGAGUGGCGAACGGGUGAGUAACACGUGGUGAUCUGCCCUGCACUUCGGGAUAAGCCUGGGAAACUGGGUCUAAUACCGGAUAGGACCAUGGACUUCACGGUUUGUGGUGGAAAGCUUUUGCGGUGUGGGAUGGGGCCCGCGGCCUAUCAGCUUGUUGGUGGGGUAAUGGCCUACCAAGGCGACGACGGGUAGCCGGCCUGAGAGGGUGUCCGGCCACACUGGGACUGAGAUACGGCCCAGACUCCUACGGGAGGCAGCAGUGGGGAAUAUUGCACAAUGGGCGCAAGCCUGAUGCAGCGACGCCGCGUGAGGGAUGACGGCCUUCGGGUUGUAACCUCUUUCAAUA
RNAcentral lists this ribosomal RNA (407 nucleotides) under uncultured bacterium. Its description in RNAcentral is "bacterial SSU rRNA". It matches the Rfam family "Bacterial small subunit ribosomal RNA", at positions 28 to 441 of the family's 1533-position model. The record is from RNAcentral.